GCCAGCAGCUAUAUCACUUUGCAAAUCAUAACUGGCAACCCACUGAAGCUAAGCAGGUGUGAGCCUGGUCAGUACCUGUAUGGGAGACCUCCUGGGAAAAACUAAGGUUGCUGCUGGAA
This 119-nucleotide ribosomal RNA is filed under the name Lepisosteus oculatus (spotted gar). Lineage: Eukaryota; Metazoa; Chordata; Actinopteri; Semionotiformes; Lepisosteidae. The record is from RNAcentral.